This 1168-nucleotide long non-coding RNA is filed under the name Struthio camelus australis. RNAcentral's name for it is "lncRNA (ENSSCUG00000013238.1)". The record is from RNAcentral. Lineage: Eukaryota; Metazoa; Chordata; Aves; Struthioniformes; Struthionidae.
GGGGGGGUGGGGGAAGCCGCCAUGGCCGUCGAGGGAGCCGCCGCGUCCGCUCCCCCGCCCCGGCCCCGCCGUUGUGCCGCUCCGCCCUGCUUGGCAGAGGGCUACGUGCCAAGGGUUGCUGCCAUCCAGUGGAGGCGAUUUAUUUUAAUUUGACUUAUUUUUUUAAAUAUAUGUGAGAAAUCCCAUUGAUUUAAGUAAAAGUACCAGUAAAAGGGGGAAAACGUCCAGGGGACCAGCUCUCACGCCUGCCGUGGGAGGGGGCGCUUUACCUUCGGCGUUGCCGUUUGGCCAAAAGACUUCGGGUUCAAAUAAUCGGUGGAAGGGAGUUGCGUGCGGUUGCGUCAGGUGGCGCGACCGCGCUGCCUGCCGCUCGCGGCAAAGAGGCUCCUGCAGCUAAAGCUGAGGAAAUCAUCAGUUCGACUCCUGUUUCAUCAGCAGCGUUUUACCAGUUUGUUUUCAGCACGCCGUUCCCGUUUGAGAGGAAGCUCCGGGGCUGGCUGAGAUAACCAGCCUGCUGCUGUCGGCCACCCGAACGCACGAGGCAGCCGGUGACAAACCUUGGUUCACAGCAGCACGCAAACCCCUGUCCAAGACGACGCUGUUGCUCUCUCCAGGCUUUCGUAAUUUGUGAUUGCAGGAUAAAUAACUUUUAUCGAUGCCUUUCAGUACGUCCUUCCAAUCUGCUAUUCCUCUCUGAUUCUCUCCAAAAAAAAAAAAAAAGUUCCCGAAAGGAAUCGGUGGUGGAUUGAAUACAGAUUAAAGUGGGGUUGGCGGUUGCCUGGCAGUAGGUGGUGCUGGCUGCAGGUGGUGCUGUUAAACCUGUACUUCGCAAGGAUUAAAAUCCAUCCAGACCUUGGCAGAAAUGAAAAAUGGCAUUCGAUAUUCAUACUGUUACACGCAGGCAAGCAGUACAGAGUGUAAUCUCCGCUGUUAGCGUGGUCUAAUGGCGUUCGCUGUGCGGCAGCUCAGGUUUGUAGGCGAGACCAUCAGGUAAUGCAUUCUCAUCUCUGAGCUGUUACUCAGAAAGGCAGCUGGGAUCAAUGAGCUGCGCUUGAUCGGUGUGUGGCAGAUGAAAGCUGAAGGAGGGCGGAAAGACAGAAACACCCACAGGUCCCUGCCAGCGGCAGGCGCGUUGUCUAAAGGAUGCGUUUUCGUUGCUUGACUUCUA